This 79-nucleotide transfer RNA is filed under the name Prasinoderma coloniale. Its description in RNAcentral is "tRNA-Gly". It matches the Rfam family "tRNA". Rfam says of the family: Transfer RNA (tRNA) molecules are approximately 80 nucleotides in length. The record is from RNAcentral. Lineage: Eukaryota; Viridiplantae; Prasinodermophyta; Prasinodermophyceae; Prasinodermales; Prasinodermaceae.
GCGGGCAUAGAUCAAGGGCUAGAUUAUCAGCCUUCCAAGCUGAAGAUAUGGGUUCGAAUCCCAUUGCCCGUAACCCCCC